RNAcentral lists this microRNA precursor (77 nucleotides) under Cebus imitator (Panamanian white-faced capuchin). RNAcentral's name for it is "miRNA (ENSCCAG00000002352.1)". Lineage: Eukaryota; Metazoa; Chordata; Mammalia; Primates; Cebidae. The record is from RNAcentral.
AUUAGGUUAGUGGAAAAGUAAUUGUGUUUUUGCCAUUACUUUUUAAUGGCAAAAACUGCAGUUACUUUUGCACCAAU